This 1246-nucleotide long non-coding RNA is filed under the name Homo sapiens (human). RNAcentral describes it as "HSALNT0075563". Lineage: Eukaryota; Metazoa; Chordata; Mammalia; Primates; Hominidae. The record is from RNAcentral.
AGCAUCUGUUAUUUUUUGACUUUUUAUCAAUAGCCAUUCUGACUGGUGUGUGAUGGUAUCUCAUUGUGGUUUUGAUUUGCAUUUCUGUAAUGAUAAGUGAUGUUGAGCAUUUUUUCAUAUCCUUGUUGAUCACAAGUAUGUCUUUCGAAGUGUCUGUUCAUGUCCUUUACCCACGUUUUAAAAUGGAGUUGUUUGGUUUUUUUGCUUAAAUUCCUUAUAGAUUCUGGAUAUUAGACCUUUUUCAGAUGCAUAGUUUGCAAAUAUUUUAUCCCAUUCCGUAGGUUGUCUGUUUAUUCUGUUGAUAGUUUCUUUUGCUGUUCAGAAGCACUUUAUUUUAAUUAGGUCCCAUUUGUCAAUUUUUGUUUUUGUUGCAAUUGCUUUGGCGUCUUCAUCAUGAAAUCUUUGCCGGAUCCUAUAUCCGGAAUAGUAUUUCCUAGGUUAUCUUCCAGGGUUUUUGUAGUUUUAGGUUUUUUAAGUCUUUAAAUCCACCUUGAGUUAAUUUUUGUAUAUGGCUACCCAAGAUUUUAAGAUUUAAUAGAACACCAAUGACACCAGAUUUAUUUUGCUUUCAAGUAUAAUAUUGUGUUAUAAUAUUGUCCCAAUGCCUUUUUAAUCCGAACAGACUCCUGCCACCUUAUGCUUGUCACCAACCCUUCUCCUCCAAAUCUGAUACACCAGACUUUCUGAGAACCUGUGCUUUAAUGAGUAAACUCACACAGCUGCAACAAAUGCUGCCACCUCCUGGCAUCUUUUAAAAAGGCUGGAGUGCAGUGGCAUGAUCUCGGCUCACUGCAACCUCCGCCUCCCGGGUUCAAGUGAUUCUCCUGCCUCAGCCUCCCAAAUAGCUGUGAUUACAGGUCACAGUGUCCAUGUAACUAACUCCUGGUUAAGAGGAUAUGGAUAGAAGGCACAUGUUCAACUUCUGGCUUCUGUCCUUGAAAAGUGUGAUGAUUCCAUCCUUUGCUGUCUUCCUUCCCGCUGACUGGAAUGUGGACUUGGUAGUGAGCUACCUUGGACUAUGUGGAUGAAGACAAAGAUAAAAGGAACCAAGGACUCUGAUGAUUCUGUAGAGAAGAGGAACCGUAGCUGCUCAAACGUUCAUGUGAAAGAAGAAUAAACUAUCAGAUUUAAGCCACUGCUAUUUUGGGUCUUUGUGAUAAACAGUGUUUACCAUAUCCUAAUUCACUAUUCCUUCCAUUUCUAGGUCAACCAUGUUGAAUUAAAUAUAGUGCUCUAACUUGCAAUU